Molecule: ribosomal RNA, 468 nt
Filed under: uncultured bacterium
Lineage: Bacteria
Description: bacterial SSU rRNA
Rfam family: Bacterial small subunit ribosomal RNA
Source: RNAcentral
ACUCCUACGGGAGGCAGCAGUAGGGAAUUUUCCGCAAUGGACGAAAGUCUGACGGAGCAAUGCCGCGUGAGUGAUGAAGGUUUUCGAAUCGUAAAGCUCUGUUGUAAGGGAAGAAUAGCAAGAAUAGGAAAUGAUUCUUGUCUGACGGUACCUUACCAGAAAGCCACGGCUAACUACGUGCCAGCAGCCGCGGUAAUACGGAGGGGGUUGAGCGUUGUUCGGAAUUACUGGGCGUAAAGCGCGCGUAGGCGGACUAGUCAGUCAGGGGUGAAAUCCCGGGGCUCAACCCGGAACUGCCUUUGAUACUGCUAGUCUAGAGUUCGAGAGAGGUGAGUGGAAUUCCGAGUGUAGAGGUGAAAUUCGUAGAUAUUCGGAGGAACACCAGUGGCGAAGGCGGCUCACUGGCUCGAUACUACGCUGAGUGCGAAAGUGUGGGGAGCAAACAGGAUUAGAUACACUGGUAGGCUC